This 76-nucleotide transfer RNA is filed under the name Pseudomonadota bacterium. Its description in RNAcentral is "Proteobacteria bacterium (mine drainage metagenome) tRNA-Ala". It matches the Rfam family "tRNA". From Rfam's summary of the family: Transfer RNA (tRNA) molecules are approximately 80 nucleotides in length. Their secondary structure includes four short double-helical elements and three loops (D, anti-codon, and T loops). Further hydrogen bonds mediate the characteristic L-shaped molecular structure. tRNAs have two regions of fundamental functional importance: the anti-codon, which is responsible for specific mRNA codon recognition, and the 3' end, to which the tRNAs corresponding amino acid is attached (by aminoacyl-tRNA synthetases). tRNAs cope with the degeneracy of the genetic code in two manners: having more than one tRNA (with a specific anti-codon) for a particular amino acid; and 'wobble' base-pairing, i.e. permitting non-standard base-pairing at the 3rd anti-codon position. Lineage: Bacteria; Pseudomonadati; Pseudomonadota. The record is from RNAcentral.
GGGGCUAUAGCGCAGUUGGUAGCGCGCUUGCAUGGCAUGCAAGAGGUCUCGAGUUCGAAUCUCGAUAGCUCCACCA